Molecule: ribosomal RNA, 321 nt
Filed under: uncultured eukaryote
Lineage: Eukaryota
Description: partial 18S ribosomal RNA
Rfam family: Eukaryotic small subunit ribosomal RNA
Source: RNAcentral
CCCUUAGAUGUCCUGGGCCGCACGCGCGCUACACUGAGUGUCUGAGAUACGAGUCUGCCUGGUCCGGCAAGGUCUAGGUAAUCGCUAAAAGACACAUCAUGCUUGGGAUAGAUUAUUGCAAUUAUUAAUCUUCAACGAGGAAUUCCUAGUAAGCGCGAGUCAUCAGCUCGCGCUGAUUACGUCCCUGCCCUUUGUACACACCGCCCGUCGCUGCAACUGAUUGGGUGACCUGGUGAACAUCUUGGACCGGCUUGCCCAUUUUUGGACGAGUUGGAAAAGGACGUAAAUCAGGUACAUCUAGAAAUUGCAAAAGUCGUAACA